RNAcentral lists this transfer RNA (68 nucleotides) under Marmota monax (woodchuck). RNAcentral describes it as "tRNA.Met". Lineage: Eukaryota; Metazoa; Chordata; Mammalia; Rodentia; Sciuridae. The record is from RNAcentral.
GGGUUGUAACUCAGCGGUAGAGUGCUUGCCUCAUAUGUGUGAGGUGCUGGAUUCAAUUCUCAGCCCCA